UCACUGGGUACGUUCGCCCUUG
This 22-nucleotide microRNA is filed under the name Daphnia pulex (common water flea). RNAcentral describes it as "Dpu-Mir-12608_3p (mature (guide))". Lineage: Eukaryota; Metazoa; Arthropoda; Branchiopoda; Diplostraca; Daphniidae. The record is from RNAcentral. RNAcentral also lists the same sequence under 1 other name.